GAUGAACGCUGGCGGCGUGCCUAAUACAUGCAAGUCGAGCGAACAGACGAGGAGCUUGCUCCUCUGACGUUAGCGGCGGACGGGUGAGUAACACGUGGAUAACCUACCUAUAAGACUGGGAUAACUUCGGGAAACCGGAGCUAAUACCGGAUAAUAUAUUGAACCGCAUGGUUCAAUAUUGAAAGACGGUUUUGCUGUCACUUAUAGAUGGAUCCGCGCCGCAUUAGCUAGUUGGUAAGGUAACGGCUUACCAAGGCGACGAUGCGUAGCCGACCUGAGAGGGUGAUCGGCCACACUGGAACUGAGACACGGUCCAGACUCCUACGGGAGGCAGCAGUAGGGAAUCUUCCGCAAUGGGCGAAAGCCUGACGGAGCAACGGCGCGUGAGUGAUGAAGGUCUUCGGAUCGUAAAACUCUGUUAUUAGGGAAGAACAAAUGUGUAAGUAACUAUGCACGUCUUGACGGUACCUAAUCAGAAAGCCACGGCUAACUACGUG
RNAcentral lists this ribosomal RNA (497 nucleotides) under uncultured bacterium. RNAcentral's name for it is "partial 16S ribosomal RNA". It matches the Rfam family "Bacterial small subunit ribosomal RNA", at positions 28 to 507 of the family's 1533-position model. The record is from RNAcentral.